Molecule: ribosomal RNA, 305 nt
Filed under: uncultured bacterium
Lineage: Bacteria
Description: bacterial SSU rRNA
Rfam family: Bacterial small subunit ribosomal RNA
Source: RNAcentral
UCCUACGGGGGGCAGCAGUGGGGAAUAUUGCGCAAUGGGGGAAACCCUGACGCAGCAACGCCGCGUGAGUGAAGACGUAUCUCGGUAUGUAAAGCUCUAUCAGCGGGGAAGAAGGAAGACGGUACCCGACUAAGAAGCCCCGGCUAACUACGUGCCAGCAGCCGCGGUAAUACGUAGGGGGCAAGCGUUAUCCGGAUUUACUGGGUGUAAAGGGAGCGUAGACGGCAGUGCAAGUCUGAAGUGAAAGGCAAGGGCUCAACCCUUGGACUGCUUUGGAAACUGUGCUGCUGGAGUGUCGGAGAGGG